GACGAACGCUGGCGGCGUGCUUAACACAUGCAAGUCGAACGGUAAGGCCCUUCGGGGUACACGAGUGGCGAACGGGUGAGUAACACGUGGGUGAUCUGCCCUGCACUUCGGGAUAAGCCUGGGAAACUGGGUCUAAUACCGGAUAGGACCACUGCCGGCAUGGGUGGGGGUGGAAAGCUUCUGCGGUGUGGGAUGGGCCCGCGGCCUAUCAGCUUGUUGGUGGGGUGAUGGCCUACCAAGGCGACGACGGGUAGCCGGCCUGAGAGGGUGACCGGCCACACUGGGACUGAGAUACGGCCCAGACUCCUACGGGAGGCAGCAGUGGGGAAUAUUGCACAAUGGGCGCAAGCCUGAUGCAGCGACGCCGCGUGAGGGAUGACGGCCUUCGGGUUGUAAACCUCUUUCAGCACAGACGAAGCGCAAGUGACGGUAUGUGCAGAAGAAGGACCGGCCAACUACGUGCCAGCAGCCGCGGUAA
This 478-nucleotide ribosomal RNA is filed under the name uncultured bacterium. RNAcentral describes it as "partial 16S ribosomal RNA". It matches the Rfam family "Bacterial small subunit ribosomal RNA", at positions 28 to 523 of the family's 1533-position model. The record is from RNAcentral.